GGGCCCGCACAAGCGGUGGAGCAUGUGGUUUAAUUCGAUGCAACGCGAAGAACCUUACCAGGGCUUGACAUACUACAAAUUCUUUGGAGACAGAGAAGUGCCUUCGGGAAUGUAGAUACAGGUGGUGCAUGGCUGUCGUCAGCUCGUGUCGUGAGAUGUUGGGUUAAGUCCCGCAACGAGCGCAACCCUUAUUUUUAGUUACCAAUUCGUUGGGUUCUCUAGAAAGACUGCCGGUGACAAACCGGAGGAAGGUGAGGAUGACGUCAAGUCAGCAUGCCCCUUAUGUCCUGGGCUACACACGUGCUACAAUGGUUAAGACAAAGAGUCGCUAGCUUGCGAAAGUUUGCUAAUCUCAUAAACUUAGCCUAAGUUCAGAUUGUAGGCUGCAAUUCGCCUACAUGAAGUUGGAAUC
This 412-nucleotide ribosomal RNA is filed under the name uncultured bacterium. RNAcentral describes it as "bacterial SSU rRNA". It matches the Rfam family "Bacterial small subunit ribosomal RNA", at positions 917 to 1333 of the family's 1533-position model. The record is from RNAcentral.